This 450-nucleotide ribosomal RNA is filed under the name uncultured bacterium. RNAcentral describes it as "partial 16S ribosomal RNA". It matches the Rfam family "Bacterial small subunit ribosomal RNA", at positions 329 to 795 of the family's 1533-position model. The record is from RNAcentral.
GUCCAGACUCCUACGGGAGGCAGCAGUGGGGAAUAUUGCACAAUGGGGGAAACCCUGAUGCAGCGACGCCGCGUGAGUGAAGAAGUAUUUCGGUAUGUAAAGCUCUAUCAGCAGGGAAUAGAAAAGAAGGUACCUGAAAAAGAAGCCCCGGCUAACUACGUGCCAGCAGCCGCGGUAAUACGUAGGGGGCAAGCGUUAUCCGGAUUUACUGGGUGUAAAGGGAGCGUAGACGGCAAUGCAAGCCAGAUGUGAAAGCCCGGGGCUCAACCCCGGGACUGCAGUUGGAACUGUGUAGCUGGAGUGUCGGAGAGGCAGGCGGAAUUCCUAGUGUAGCGGUGAAAUGCGUAGAUAUUAGGAGGAACACCAGUGGCGAAGGCGGCUUGCUGGACGAUGACUGACGUUGAGGCUCGAAAGCGUGGGGAGCAAACAGGAUUAGAUACCCCUGUAUAC